This 68-nucleotide transfer RNA is filed under the name Xylocopa appendiculata. RNAcentral describes it as "tRNA-Ile". Lineage: Eukaryota; Metazoa; Arthropoda; Insecta; Hymenoptera; Apidae. The record is from RNAcentral.
AGUAAUAUGCCUGAUAAAAGGAUUAUUUUGAUAGAAUAAAUAUGUAUGUAUUAAAUAUACUAUUACUA